CUGCAGCCCGUGUGGUGAUCGAUUUUAUUGAGCCUAAAGCGUCCGUAGCCGGACUAGUAAACCCUUGGGUAAAUUGGGCAGCUUAACUGUCCAAAUUCCGAGGGGACUGCUAGUCUUGGGACCGGGAGAGGUCAGAGGUACUCCAGGGGUAGGGGCUAAAUCCUGUAAUCCUUGGGGGACCACCAGUGGCGAAGGCGUCUGACUAGAACGGAUCCGACGGUAAGGGACGAAACCCUGGGGCGCGAACCGGAUUAGAUACCCGGUAGUCC
Molecule: ribosomal RNA, 269 nt
Filed under: uncultured archaeon
Lineage: Archaea
Description: partial 16S ribosomal RNA
Rfam family: Archaeal small subunit ribosomal RNA
Source: RNAcentral